UCUGCCGGAAAAAUUUCUCGGUUUUGUGGGGAGGGUAAAUUCUCCUAAGGCUAAAUAACGGCGAGAGACCGAUAGCGAACAAGUACCGUGAGGGAAAGAUGAAAAGAACUUUGAAAAGAGAGUUAAACAGUACGUGAAAUUGUUGAAAGGGAAACGAUUGAAGCCAGUCGUACCUUCGGGUAAUCAGCCUUUCGGGUGCGAUUCUGUGGAGUUUGAGGAGCUUAACACCUUCAUGCUUUGCAUAUUCGUGCUCUUGGGUGUGCUUGCCCGUGUGGUUGGUUAACAUCAAUUUCGGGCACCAUAAAAUGGCUGGAGGAAUGAGCUUCUAUAAUAACGGAUGGGGUUUUAUGUAUGAAAAAAAGUGCUUUGAGUUGUAACCGGAAGGCGGGUUGCUUUUGGCCUAUUAUACUC
RNAcentral lists this ribosomal RNA (411 nucleotides) under uncultured Glomeromycotina. RNAcentral describes it as "partial large subunit ribosomal RNA". It matches the Rfam family "Eukaryotic large subunit ribosomal RNA", at positions 259 to 587 of the family's 3401-position model. The record is from RNAcentral. Lineage: Eukaryota; Fungi; Glomeromycota.